GUUAGGGGUUUCGAUACCCUUGGUGCCGAAGUUAACACAUUAAGCAUUCCGCCUGGGGAGUACGGUCGCAAGACUGAAACUCAAAGGAAUUGACGGGGACCCGCACAAGCAGUGGAGUAUGUGGUUUAAUUCGAAGCAACGCGAAGAACCUUACCAGGUCUUGACAUCCCUUUGACCGGUCUAGAGAUAGACCUUUCCUUCGGGACAGAGGAGACAGGUGGUGCAUGGUUGUCGUCAGCUCGUGUCGUGAGAUGUUGGGUUAAGUCCCGCAACGAGCGCAACCCUUAUGCUUAGUUGCCAGCAGGUCAAGCUGGGCACUCUAAGCAGACUGCCGGUGACAAACCGGAGGAAGGUGGGGAUGACGUCAAAUCAUCAUGCCCCUUAUGACCUGGGCUACACACGUACUACAAUGGCCGGUACAACGGGAAGCGAAGCCGCGAU
RNAcentral lists this ribosomal RNA (441 nucleotides) under Paenibacillus sp. Its description in RNAcentral is "bacterial SSU rRNA". It matches the Rfam family "Bacterial small subunit ribosomal RNA", at positions 822 to 1261 of the family's 1533-position model. Lineage: Bacteria; Bacillati; Bacillota; Bacilli; Caryophanales; Paenibacillaceae. The record is from RNAcentral.